GGAAGUCGCGCUGCCGUGGCGGCCCCUGUAGCAGCGACGGUCCAGUCGUAGCCCGGCCGCCCGCGCCUGUCCGGUCGGGUCCGGCCACGGAGGCAGCGCAGCGGCGGGACCCCGAGCCUACCCCGCCGAGUGAGCUGCGCCGCACCGUGCCGCCCCACCCGGCACCCACCAGUCCGAUGGGGCCGCAGCGGCGGCUGUCCCCUGCCGGGGCCGUCCUACUCUGGGGCUUCCUGCUCCCGCUGACAGCCGCUCAGGAAGCAAUCUUGCAUGCGUCUGGAAAUAGCACAACCAAGGACUACUGCAUGCUUUAUAACCCUUAUUGGACAGCUCUUCCAAGUACCCUAGAAAAUGCAACUUCCAUUAGUUUGAUGAAUCUGACUUCCACACCACUAUGCAACCUUUCUGAUAUUCCUCCUGUUGGCAUAAAGAACAAAGCAGUUGUGGUUCCAUGGGGAAGCUGCCAUUUUCUUGAAAAAGCCAGAAUUGCACAGAAAGGAGGUGCUGAAGCAAUGUUAGUUGUCAAUAACAGUGUCCUAUUUCCUCCCUCAGGUAACAGAUCUGAAUUUCCUGAUGUGAAAAUACUGAUUGCAUUUAUAAGCUACAAAGACUUUAGAGAUAUGAACCAGGUAAAUUAGCAAUUACAUAUUAGAUAAAGUUUAUAAAUAUUAUAUCUCUUUAUUUUUAAUCACUAAUGUUUAAUUUUGAGUGUUAUAUUUGCUCCAUUUGCUAACAAGAAGCUAUA
Molecule: small RNA, 742 nt
Filed under: Pongo abelii (Sumatran orangutan)
Lineage: Eukaryota; Metazoa; Chordata; Mammalia; Primates; Hominidae
Description: retained intron
Source: RNAcentral